ACCUGCCCAGAAGCGGGGGAUAACACCUGGAAACAGAUGCUAAUACCGCAUAACAACUUGGACCGCAUGGUCCGAGCUUGAAAGAUGGCUUCGGCUAUCACUUUUGGAUGGUCCCGCGGCGUAUUAGCUAGAUGGUGGGGUAACGGCUCACCAUGGCAAUGAUACGUAGCCGACCUGAGAGGGUAAUCGGCCACAUUGGGACUGAGACACGGCCCAAACUCCUACGGGAGGCAGCAGUAGGGAAUCUUCCACAAUGGACGAAAGUCUGAUGGAGCAACGCCGCGUGAGUGAAGAAGGGUUUCGGCUCGUAAAACUCUGUUGUUAAAGAAGAACAUAUCUGAGAGUAACUGUUCAGGUAUUGACGGUAUUUAACCAGAAAGCCACGGCUAACUACGUGCCAGCAGCCGCGGUAAUACGUAGGUGGCAAGCGUUGUCCGGAUUUAUUGGGCGUAAAGCGAGCGCAGGCGGUUUUUUAAGUCUGAUGUGAAAGCCUUCGGCUCAACCGAAGAAGUGCAUCGGAAACUGGGAAACUUGAGUGCAGAAGAGGACAGUGGAACUCCAUGUGUAGCGGUGAAUGCGUAGAUAUAUGGAAGAACACCAGUGGCGAAGGCGGCUGUCUGGUCUGUAACUGACGCUGAAGGCUCGAAAA
This 649-nucleotide ribosomal RNA is filed under the name uncultured bacterium. RNAcentral's name for it is "bacterial SSU rRNA". It matches the Rfam family "Bacterial small subunit ribosomal RNA", at positions 124 to 759 of the family's 1533-position model. The record is from RNAcentral.